AUUGAACGCUGGCGGCAUGCCUUACACAUGCAAGUCGAACGGCAGCACGGGUGCUUGCCCCUGGUGGCGAGUGGCGAACGGGUGAGUAAUACAUCGGAACAUGUCCUGUAGUGGGGGAUAGCCCGGCGAAAGCCGGAUUAAUACCGCAUACGAUCUACGGAUGAAAGCGGGGGCCCUUCGGGCCUCGCGCUAUAGGGUUGGCCGAUGGCUGAUUAGCUAGUUGGUGGGGUAAAGGCCUACCAAGGCGACGAUCAGUAGCUGGUCUGAGAGGACGACCAGCCACACUGGGACUGAGACACGGCCCAGACUCCUACGGGAGGCAGCAGUGGGGAAUUUUGGACAAUGGGCGAAAGCCUGAUCCAGCAAUGCCGCGUGUGUGAAGAAGGCCUUCGGGUUGUAAAGCACUUUUGUCCGGAAAGAAAUCCUUGGCCCUAAUACGGUCGGGGGAUGACGGUACUGGAAGAAUAAGCACCGGCUAACUACGUG
Molecule: ribosomal RNA, 486 nt
Filed under: uncultured bacterium
Lineage: Bacteria
Description: partial 16S ribosomal RNA
Rfam family: Bacterial small subunit ribosomal RNA
Source: RNAcentral